CAGUCGCCGCGGGAAUACGAAGGGGGCUAGCGUUGCUCGGAAUUACUGGGCGUAAAGCGCACGUAGGCGGACCGAUAAGUCGGGGGUGAAAUCCUGGAGCUCAACUCCAGAACUGCCUUCGAAACUGCCGGUCUUGAGUUCGGGAGAGGUGAGUGGAACUGCGAGUGUAGAGGUGAAAUUCGUAGAGAUCGGGAGGAACAUCAGUGGCGAAGGCGGCCAUCUGGGACAACACUGACGCUGAGGCACGAAAGCGUGGGGAGCAAACAGGAUUAGAUACCCCAGUAGUCCCUGUCUCUUAUAC
Molecule: ribosomal RNA, 301 nt
Filed under: uncultured bacterium
Lineage: Bacteria
Description: partial 16S ribosomal RNA
Rfam family: Bacterial small subunit ribosomal RNA
Source: RNAcentral